GUGUCAGCAGCCGCGGUAAUACAGAGGUCUCAACCGUUGUUCGGAUUCAUUGGGCGUAAAGGGUGCGUAGGCGGUCGCGUAAGUCAGGUGUGAAAUCUCAGGGCUCAACCCUGAAACUGCACUUGAUACUGCGUGGCUCGGGUACUGGAGAGGAGACUGGAAUUUACGGUGUAGCAGUGAAAUGCGUAGAUAUCGUAAGGAAGACCAGUGGCGAAGGCGAGUCUCUGGACAGUUACCGACGCUGAGGCACGAAGGUCAGGGGAGCAAACGGGAUUAGAAACCCUCGUAGUCC
This 292-nucleotide ribosomal RNA is filed under the name uncultured bacterium. RNAcentral describes it as "partial 16S ribosomal RNA". It matches the Rfam family "Bacterial small subunit ribosomal RNA", at positions 505 to 796 of the family's 1533-position model. The record is from RNAcentral.